GAUGAACGCUGGCGGCGUGCCUAAUACAUGCAAGUCGAACGCGAAGCCUGAUUUCGGUUAGGCGGAGAGUGGCGAACGGGUGAGUAACACGUAGCUGACCUGCCCUUCAGAGGGGGACAACGACUGGAAACGGUUGCUAAGACCCCAUACGCUCACGGGGAUUAGAAGCCUGUGAGGAAAAGCUCCGGCGCUGAAGGAGGGGGCUGCGACCCAUCAGCUAGUUGGUAGGGUAAAGGCUUACCAAGGCGAGGACGGGUAGGGGACCUGAGAGGGUGACCCCCCACACUGGCACUGAGAGACGGGCCAGACUCCUACGGGAGGCAG
This 324-nucleotide ribosomal RNA is filed under the name uncultured Chloroflexota bacterium. RNAcentral describes it as "bacterial SSU rRNA". It matches the Rfam family "Bacterial small subunit ribosomal RNA", at positions 28 to 351 of the family's 1533-position model. The record is from RNAcentral. Lineage: Bacteria; Bacillati; Chloroflexota.